GACGAACGCUGGCGGCGUGCUUAACACAUGCAAGUCGAACGGAAAGGCCCUGCUUUUGUGGGGUGCUCGAGUGGCGAACGGGUGAGUAACACGUGAGUAACCUGCCCUUGACUUUGGGAUAACUUCAGGAAACUGGGGCUAAUACCGGAUAGGAGCUCCUGCUGCAUGGUGGGGGUUGGAAAGUUUCGGCGGUUGGGGAUGGACUCGCGGCUUAUCAGCUUGUUGGUGGGGUAGUGGCUUACCAAGGCUUUGACGGGUAGCCGGCCUGAGAGGGUGACCGGCCACAUUGGGACUGAGAUACGGCCCAGACUCCUACGGGAGGCAGCAGUGGGGAAUAUUGCACAAUGGGCGGAAGCCUGAUGCAGCAACGCCGCGUGCGGGAUGACGGCCUUCGGGUUGUAAACCGCUUUCGCCUGUGACGAAGCGUGAGUGACGGUAAUGGGUAAAGAAGCACCGGCUAACUACGUGCCAGCAGCCGCGGUGAUACGUAGGGUGCGAGCGUUGUCCGGAUUUAUUGGGCGUAAAGGGCUCGUAGGUGGUUGAUCGCGUCGGAAGUGUAAUCUUGGGGCUUAACCCUGAGCGUGCUUUCGAUACGGGUUGACUUGAGGAAGGUAGGGGAGAAUGGAAUUCCUGGUGGAGCGGUGGAAUGCGCAGAUAUCAGGAGGAACACCAGUGGCGAAGGCGGUUCUCUGGGCCUUUCCUGACGCUGAGGAGCGAAAGCGUGGGGAGCGAACAGGCUUAGAUACCCUGGUAGUCCACGCUGUAAACGGUGGGUACUAGGUGUGGGGUCCAUUCCACGGGUUCCGUGCCGUAGCUAACGCUUUAAGUACCCCGCCUGGGGAGUACGGCCGCAAGGCUAAAACUCAAAGGAAUUGACGGGGCCCCGCACAAGCGGCGGAGCAUGCGGAUUAAUUCGAUGCAACGCGUAGAACCUUACCUGGGUUUGACAUGGAUCGGGAGUGCUCAGAGAUGGGUGUGCCUCUUUUGGGGUCGGUUCACAGGUGGUGCAUGGCUGUCGUCAGCUCGUGUCGUGAGAUGUUGGGUUAAGUCCCGCAACGAGCGCAACCCUUGUUCACUGUUGCCAGCACGUUAUGGUGGGGACUCAGUGGAGACCGCCGGGGUCAACUCGGAGGAAGGUGGGGAUGACGUCAAGUCAUCAUGCCCCUUAUGUCCAGGGCUUCACGCAUGCUACAAUGGCUGGUACAGAGAGUGGCGAGCCUGUGAGGGUGAGCGAAUCUCGGAAAGCCGGUCUCAGUUCGGAUUGGGGUCUGCAACUCGACCUCAUGAAGUCGGAGUCGCUAGUAAUCGCAGAUCAGCAACGCUGCGGCGAAUACGUUCCCGGGGCUUGUACACACCGCCCGUCAAGUCAUGAAAGUUGGUAACACCCGAAGCCGGUGGCCUAACCGUUGUGGGGGAGCCGUCGAAGGUGGGACUGGUGAUUAGG
RNAcentral lists this ribosomal RNA (1444 nucleotides) under uncultured bacterium. RNAcentral's name for it is "16S ribosomal RNA". It matches the Rfam family "Bacterial small subunit ribosomal RNA". The record is from RNAcentral.